Molecule: long non-coding RNA, 536 nt
Filed under: Phoenix dactylifera (date palm)
Lineage: Eukaryota; Viridiplantae; Streptophyta; Magnoliopsida; Arecales; Arecaceae
Description: long non-coding RNA (PDAC_LNC010193)
Source: RNAcentral
AGGACAAUGAAAUCUAUUGGAAAAUAGAAUUUGUCUACCUUGACAAGAACAUCUUUAAUUAUCCCACGUAGUGUUUUUACAGAUCGAUCAGCCAAUUGAAGGGAUACCGAGGUUGGUUUUAACUCACCUAACCCAAGUUACUCAUAAACUGAAUAAGGUAAAAGGUUGACACUUGCCCCUAGAUCUAAGAGUGCUCGAUCAAUGAAAUUACUUCCUAAGACACAGGAGAUGGUGGGAGCACCAGGAUCUUUGAAUUUCGGAGGGAUGUUGUGUUGGAGAAUAGAACUCACUUGCUCAGUUAGGAAGACCUUUCUAGGCACAUGUGUCCUAGAUUUUCGCUUUUGGGUACAAAGGUCUUUGAGAAAUUUAGCAUAGGAGGGAACUUGUUUAAUAGCAUCAAGAAGCAGAAGGUUGAUUUUCACUUGUUUGAAAGCCUCCAUCAUUUCCUCUAGUGAAGUUCCCUUUCUGUCAAAGGGAGAGGGUGAAUUAAGAGCUUCAGGAAAUGGGGCCUUUGGGAUGUGACUUUUGGCAGAAGG